Physcomitrium patens is the source of this 1535-nucleotide non-coding RNA. The record is from RefSeq and is a predicted model, not a curated record. Lineage: Eukaryota; Viridiplantae; Streptophyta; Bryopsida; Funariales; Funariaceae.
CACCACAGAUCCUCGACCCCCUUCGACCCCUUAAUCACUUCCCUUCGCCCUCUGGCUGCAAAAUCCUGUGGUGUGCUCUCCUAUCGCUUCGAAUUGCUCGAAUCUGCGCAUACAUACAUGAUGCAUGCAAACAACGUGAGAGCAAGGAGCCGCGGAUGGGAUGAGGAAUGACAAGAAGAUGACGGGGCAUUGAACAGCAUAUCACAAUUGUAUCCUGGCUAGACUUGUACGCAAUCGAAUUGCGAGGUAGGAGCGGAUCUGAAUGAUGUAUAGGACGGAAGACUUCUAUAACCUGGAAUAUGGUGAGAACAUCUUCAAACUUGUUCAUCUACGAAGAUUCUUAGUCCAUUUUGAGGAUUGAGCUUUCUUUGACUCACAGUUGCAAUCUCUCUGUGUUAUAUGUCUUGAAAGACUAAAUGUUCUCAAUCUGUUUGUGUCAUAUAUCUUGAAUGACUCAGUGUUCUCAACAGAAGAUUUGACCUGGGGCUCUUCCACUGCAUGUAAUACUGAACUUUAGUCGGAGAUUACAUUACACUUACAAUGCUCUUGAUUGAACUGUCAAAAGAACAUCGUACUCAGAUUUGGUAACCUCCCGACGAGCUUCACCGGGCUUGUUAUCAGAGUCAAUCCACCAGUUGCCUCGAGAUAAGAAAUUUCUCCAAUGUCACCGAUCAAUCACAGCAAGAAGGAUCACACAGGAACGACUUGUAACAUGUUCUGGAAGACCACGUCUUUCACCAUCGACAACAAGUCCAAUUCGGAAUGACACUUAUCAGAUAACGUCGUCCUAGGCAAGCAUGUGAUAGACAGAAGAACGAGGAAAGGCGAUCCUGGAUACUAGUUUUUUCUGUUUUAUACUUUCUUCUUGUGUUUUUUUCCGCUUCUAUCUCCCCAUCUUCUAUUUCAUGCAGUUGGUCACCGAAGCCGGGUGAAUCCUUUGUUAUUUUUUUUAUCUUACUUCUGAUACCAAUGUUGAGUAGAUAUUGUAACCCCUGUGUUCGUGUGUGUGUAGUGCUGAAUACAGUAAGGUACACCAUUGUUUGUUAGUAGGUUCAUUAUUGGGUCACCUCGGAUUUGCUUGAACUAGUCUCUUGCAUUCAUUGGUGAAUUUUGAAUCUUGAGGUGGAAAUCGUCGUCUUGGAGCCUCUCCAUCUUUGCUUUUGGAUGACCCCAGAAUCAGAUAAAUUGGAGUUAGAACGAAACUUUUUGGCAACAAUUCAAGUAGUAAACUGCUCCUUUGCACCUUGGAUUACCCAACCAACUUAUGAGAGAAGCAAUGAUGAACUGUGAAAUACUGGUGUUGUUAAACUUCAGCAACAAGCGAAGGAUUGUUCCAACAAUCUAAGGUGACGUCUAAGAUGAGAAACCACGUUACUUUCCCUUUAUUGCAUAAAUUCCGUUAUCUCGAUUGGUUUUACCAGUUACUAUACAUCACAGAAUCUGGUUUAUUUUUAGAACUAGUUCAGUCAAGAAUCUAGUCAUGAUAUAUUUCACAUUUGCCUGAACUAUUAUAAAUUAUCUUCAUUUAUACUUAA